UGGGGAAUAUUGGACAAUGGGCGAAAGCCUGAUCCAGCAAUGCCGCGUGGGUGAAGAAGGUCUUCGGAUUGUAAAGCCCUUUCGACGGGGACGAUGAUGACGGUACCCGUAGAAGAAGCCCCGGCUAACUUCGUGCCAGCAGCCGCGGUAAUACGAAGGGGGCUAGCGUUGCUCGGAUUGACUGGGCGUAAAGGGCGCGUAGGCGGUUUGUACAGUCAGACGUGAAAUUCCUGGGCUCAACCUGGGGGCUGCGUUUGAUACGUGCAGACUUGAGUUCGGAAGAGGGUCGUGGAAUUCCCAGUGUAGAGGUGAAAUUCGUAGAUAUUGGGAAGAACACCGGUGGCGAAGGCGGCGACCUGGUCCGAUACUGACGCUGAGGCGCGAAAGCGUGGGGAGCAAAC
RNAcentral lists this ribosomal RNA (401 nucleotides) under uncultured bacterium. RNAcentral describes it as "bacterial SSU rRNA". It matches the Rfam family "Bacterial small subunit ribosomal RNA", at positions 355 to 773 of the family's 1533-position model. The record is from RNAcentral.